CAAAACGCCGUGGCUUUGCUGUCACAUAAACCUGCACAUGGGAUCAUUAACUCCGCUCCAAAUCGAGAUUACAGUGGCCAGACUGCUUGGUGGGGAUAAACUGGCUGGCGGGUUUCCCCGUCUCUAUGCCCUAAUCUUACCUACUCAAACCUAACUUUGCCAAGCAAGGGUUAUUUCAGUAAGUGAAGGGACCAUGUCAAGCAUUUUUCUGUAAGGUGAACGUGGUGUUGCCUUGUACAGUACAAAUCGGGGAAUGAAUUAGGAGAAUAUUAUUACUACUAGAAUUCUAUUUAUGCUAUUUUUCUAAUCUAAUAUAUUGUUUACAGUGGGAUUUUGAACAGUUCCAGCCCUCAACCAAAGCGAUUAGUAGAGGCACACCAAGGCAAAUCCACGGGUUUAGACAAAUAAACCAUACUCAGUGUCAACAUCUUUCAUGGUAGGACUGAGGCAGACAGGAUCUGCUGGCAGCUGUGCCAUGGUUUGUAAGUCAUCUCCCAAGCUAAACGUGUCACCUCUGCCAGGUAACCACCUCCAGCACAGGGAAGAGUGAGUGUCAUGGCUUGGCUGCAUGUCAGGCUCAAUCUGACUCUCAGUGCCCUUUACCAGCUGUUCCCUGGUGCCAGCAGUGAGCAAAGGAUUAGGUGGUAACAGUUUUGUAAACUGCCGUGGCAAGACUUGCCCCUCAGUUUCUGUAGUUCCAGUAAAGAAUAAGCUCUUCUAAUACAAAUUGCAGAUUUUGUUCUUCAGCAGGGGCUUGGUUGCUGCUAGGACAGGUGAGGCUGGGCCAGAAGAGUUCUGCAAACAGCCACUCAGUUUUUCUAAAAAAGGAGGGCAGAGCUUGAUGCUGGAAAGGAGAACUCCUGAAAUGCAGAGCCAAGCUAGUUCUCUGAGAAAUACUCCCAUUAAUCUCAGUGAGGUAUCACUGUUAAUAUGUUGGUAUAAUCUGUCAUCCAAUUUUGCAGUGUCACUGGUCAUAAAGUUUCAUAUUGCCUAUGUUAUCUUUUAAUCCAAAAGGAGCAAAGUUUGAGGACGCUGCUGAAGAGCCCAGACUUGCACACAGCUACAUUUCAACAGCUGAAGUGCCAGCAGUAUCCCAGUAUCCUGGCUUUAUAUUGAGGCUAUGGAAUGGGGCUGAGCUUCACCUUACACAAACUGCAGACCAAGCUGGAGGCCCAUAACACAACCAAAAUUGGAUCAAUUCUUUUGUAACAACACCCUUGUUCUAAGGCAUGGAGCUGCAGAGGAUCUUCCACAGCUGUGCUUUCACCACCUCCAGGACCAGAAACCCAAAAUGCACAGUAGAGACCAAACCUUUGGUUUUUUUCACUGAACACAAAUGAAAUGUCUUCUUACCUCAGGGGAAACAAAAUACACCUGAGAGCUGAAUUUCCUCUGGAGGUACCCAACCCUCUCCUUUGGAAAACUGAAUUUCUAAUCAGGCACUCAGAGGCAGGUCAGCCCUGGUUUGCCAGCUGGACUGGACUGCAGAAGUGACAGAGAGGGGAGCACAGGCUGGGGAGAUUUACAAAUCUGCUCUAUACAUUGCAACAGACCUCAUGCAAAGUCAACAUGGCCUUGCAUCAUCAAGCACAGGCUGGAGCCAGGAAACAGCUCAGCUGGAGAAGCCACAGAAUGAGGAGAGAACAAGCCUGUUCAGUGUCCCUGGGAUCAUAACACCUCCCCUGCCCUGAUGACCUGCCUGCUUUGCCUGGAGGGCUGGAAAUUGCAGAGCUGCUGGUGGCUGAUGAGAAAUUAUUUAAAGGAAGCAUUACUGAGAACCCUGCAGAGAGCAAACCACAGCCCUGCACUGCUCCCCACGGGGCACAGCUGAAAUUUGGGAAGAUUCUGUCUCACUAAGGGACAUGUCCUUCAGGUUCAGGACAGGUGGAGUGUUUGUGCUUCAGCAAGCCCAGGCUGCUGCUGUCUGCUCUUUUGGAAGGAAAAAAGGUAGGUUUCCUCUUUUUGAGGAAACAAGUGUGUGACUUACAUCAAAUCUGUGCUUAAAAUGCUCCUGAAACAGGAAUGCAGAGAAAGGGAAAGAAAUCACCUGUAAUAAGCGCUAUUAAUAUGUCUCCAUCAAGUAUUGUCUUUUUUUGGUUGUUGUUGGGGAGGGUAUGAGGUGCAGUGGCUGUACCCAAUGGACAAGGCACCUACAGACAUCAUAUCAUCUGCUGCUACUCACAGAUUUUUUCAAUCCACCUUUUAUGCUCAUUAUAUUCCCUUUAUGUGUGCCCAGUUUCCAGCAAUAAACUUAAGACAAUUUCCAUUAAUCUCUCAGAAAUUCAGGGGGUUUGUCAUUAGAAGAAGGCAAAGGUGGAUAUGCCAAAUUCCUCCCUGCCCUCCUCUUUUUUUAAAGGUUUACCCCUAGAAUUGACCUGAAUUUGUAUACUUAUUUUACAUGACAGAAGUGGCAGAGAUAAAAAUAGAAUAUGAAGAAUAUUACAUAAUGAAGUGAUAAAAGGAUAUUGAUUACUUAGGCAAUAUAAUUACUACAAAUAAAGGUGGAUGCUAAGCCUAUAUUCCUUGCUCAUGCUGAAGCCAAUAGCAGUUAAAUUCAGUGUAUUUUUAGAGUAAUAAAGAGCUAUACCAUGGGCCCAAUCAGCUUCAAUACUGAAGGAGUGCAAAAUGAGAGUGCUUAAACAAUAUGUCCAAAUCUUCUAGGCAUUCAGGAAGAGACACAAAUAUAUAAUCAUUCAUAAUUAACAAUUUCUCCAUGGCACUAUCCGUGAAAGGAUCUCAUGUUCCUUAAUAAAUAUUAAUUAAAUAAACCCUACACCCC
Haemorhous mexicanus (house finch) is the source of this 2779-nucleotide long non-coding RNA. RefSeq lists it as uncharacterized. The transcript has 5 exons. Lineage: Eukaryota; Metazoa; Chordata; Aves; Passeriformes; Fringillidae. The record is from RefSeq and is a predicted model, not a curated record.